CCUACGGGAGGCUGCAGUGGGGGAUAUUGCACAAUGGGGGAAACCCUGAUGCAGCGACGCCGCGUGGGUGAAGAAGCGCCUCCGCGCGUUAAGCCCCGUCAGCAGGGAAGAAAAUGACGGUACCUGAAGCAGCAGCCCCGGCUAACUACGUGCCAGCAGCCGCGGUCACAGGUAGGGGGGAAGCGUUAUCCGGGUUUACUGGGGGUUAAGGGGGAGCAGGCGGCGAUGCAAGCCAGGGGUGAAAGCCCGGGGCCCAACCCCGGGACUGCUCGUGUAACUGCGUGGCUAGAGUGGAGGAGGGGCAGGCGGAAUUCGUGGUGUAGCGGUGAAAUGCGUAGAUAUCAGGAGGAACACCGGUGGCGAAGGCGGCCUGCUGGACUGCAACUGACGUUGAGGCCCGAAAGCGUGGGGAGCGAACAGGAUUAGAUACCCGAGUAGUC
This 440-nucleotide ribosomal RNA is filed under the name uncultured bacterium. RNAcentral's name for it is "partial 16S ribosomal RNA". It matches the Rfam family "Bacterial small subunit ribosomal RNA", at positions 338 to 795 of the family's 1533-position model. The record is from RNAcentral.